UUUAUUUCCUCUACAUUUGUGUCUUGGAACUAUUUCCAUUCUCCAUUAAUACAAAAUUUCUUCAUAUGGCCCCUAGCAGAAAUCAACUAGAUGACUUCCUGUCUUCAUAAGAUCAUUUUGCAGCUGAAGAUAUUAAAGACCAGAGAGGUCAAGGCUGAAGGCAGAAAUGUCAUCACGUUUUCAAGAACAUGACAAAGGAAAUUGAAACAACAAAACCUCCUGUCAGGGAGUUCCUUGAUCAACUUGAGGAGGUUACUAGGAGACCCUGGUCUUCCCGUGUUCCAAGCUGCAGUUUGUAAUCUCAGCUUUCUGAUUGGAAUGAUGCCACCUGCUGGAGACUUACUGUAGAAAAGCUCCGCCACGAAGUGAAGGUCUCUGAGGGC
Molecule: long non-coding RNA, 383 nt
Organism: Dromiciops gliroides (monito del monte)
Lineage: Eukaryota; Metazoa; Chordata; Mammalia; Microbiotheria; Microbiotheriidae
Exons: 3
Source: RefSeq, a predicted model, not a curated record